AGAGUUUGAUCCUGGCUCAGGAUGAACGCUGGCGGCGCGCCUAACACAUGCAAGUCGAACGGUUAAAGCACCCUCGGGUGUGCAUAAAGUGGCGAACGGCUGAGUAACACGUGGGCAACCUGCCCCUCGCACCGGGACAGCCUCGGGAAACCGUGGAUAAUACCGGAUACUCCGCAGCCCCCGCAUGGGGGAGGCGGGAAAGCCCUGGCGGCGAGGGAUGGGCCCGCGGCCUGUUAGCUAGUUGGUGGGGCAACGGCCCACCAAGGCGAUUAUGGGUAGCUGGGUUGAGAGACCGACCAGCCAGAUUGGGACUGAGACACGGCCCAGACUCCUACGGGAGGCAGCAGUGGGGAAUCUUGCGCAAUGGGCGAAAGCCUGACGCAGCGACGCCGCGUGCGGGACGAAGGCCUUCGGGUCGUAAACCGCUUUCAGCAGGGACGAGGCCGCGAGGUGACGGUACCUGCAGAAGAAGCCCCGGCUAACUACGUGCCAGCAGCCGCGGU
Molecule: ribosomal RNA, 503 nt
Filed under: Coriobacteriaceae bacterium M39
Lineage: Bacteria; Bacillati; Actinomycetota; Coriobacteriia; Coriobacteriales; Coriobacteriaceae
Description: bacterial SSU rRNA
Rfam family: Bacterial small subunit ribosomal RNA
Source: RNAcentral